AGGACGAACGCUGGCGGCGUGCUUAACACAUGCAAGUGGAGCGACGAACCGGGGCUUGCCCCGGGGCAGAGCCGCGAACGGGUGAGUAACACGUGGGUUACCUGCCUUGAUGACCGGGACAACCCGAGGAAACUCGGGCUAAUACCGGAUGUGCCCGCAAGGGGGAAAGGAAGCUUCGGCCUCCGCAUCAAGAUGGGCCCGCGGCCCAUUAGCUUGUUGGUGAGGUAACGGCUCACCAAGGCUUCGAUGGGUAGCUGGUCUGAGAGGACGAUCAGCCACACUGGGACUGAGACACGGCCCAGACUCCUACGGGAGGCAGCAGUGGGGAAUCUUGCGCAAUGCGCGAAAGCGUGACGCAGCAACGCCGCGUGGGGGAAGAAGGCUUUCGGGUUGUAAACCCUUUCAGUUGGGACGAAGCUUCUUUGGUGAUAGCCAAAAUGGAGUGACGGUACCUUCACAAGAAGCACCGGCUAACUACGUGCCAGCAGCCGCGGU
RNAcentral lists this ribosomal RNA (495 nucleotides) under uncultured bacterium. Its description in RNAcentral is "SSU rRNA". It matches the Rfam family "Bacterial small subunit ribosomal RNA", at positions 26 to 521 of the family's 1533-position model. The record is from RNAcentral.